This 253-nucleotide ribosomal RNA is filed under the name uncultured bacterium. RNAcentral describes it as "partial 16S ribosomal RNA". It matches the Rfam family "Bacterial small subunit ribosomal RNA", at positions 524 to 776 of the family's 1533-position model. The record is from RNAcentral.
UACGAAGGGGGCUAGCGUUGCUCGGAAUCACUGGGCGUAAAGGGUGCGUAGGCGGGUCUUUAAGUCAGGGGUGAGAUCCUGGAGCUCAACUCCAGAACUGCCUUUGAUACUGAGGAUCUUGAGUUCGGGAGAGGUGAGUGGAACUGCGAGUGUAGAGGUGAAAUUCGUAGAUAUUCGCAAGAACACCAGUGGCGAAGGCGGCUCACUGGCCCGAUACUGACGCUGAGGCACGAAAGCGUGGGGAGCAAACAGG